AACGAACGCUGGCGGCAUGCCUAACACAUGCAAGUCGAACGAGACCUUCGGGUCUAGUGGCGCACGGGUGCGUCACGCGUGGGAAUCUGCCCUUGGGUUCGGCAUAACAGUUGGAAACGACUGCUAAUACCGGAUGAUGACUUAAGUCCAAAGAUUUAUCGCCCAAGGAUGAGCCCGCGUAGCAUUAGCUAGUUGGUGAGGUAAAGGCUCACCAAGGCGACGAUCCUUAGCUGGUCUGAGAGGAUGAUCAGCCACACUGGGACUGAGACACGGCCCAGACUCCUACGGGAGGCAGCAGUGGGGAAUAUUGGACAAUGGGCGGAAGCCUGAACCAGCAAUGCCGCGUGAGUGAUGAAGUCCUUAGGGUUGUAAAGCUCUUUUACCCGGGAUGAUAAUGACAGUACCGGGAGAAUAAGCUCCGGCUAACUCCGUG
This 433-nucleotide ribosomal RNA is filed under the name uncultured bacterium. RNAcentral describes it as "partial 16S ribosomal RNA". It matches the Rfam family "Bacterial small subunit ribosomal RNA", at positions 29 to 507 of the family's 1533-position model. The record is from RNAcentral.